RNAcentral lists this ribosomal RNA (340 nucleotides) under uncultured Methanosaeta sp. Its description in RNAcentral is "bacterial SSU rRNA". It matches the Rfam family "Archaeal small subunit ribosomal RNA", at positions 1000 to 1338 of the family's 1478-position model. The record is from RNAcentral. Lineage: Archaea; Methanobacteriati; Methanobacteriota; Methanomicrobia; Methanotrichales; Methanotrichaceae.
GUCGUCAGUUCGUACUGUGAAGCAUCCUGUUAAGUCAGGCAACGAGCGAGACCCACGUCCACAGUUGCCAGCAUACCCUCCGGGGUGAUGGGUACACUGUGGAGACCGCCGCUGCUAAAGCGGAGGAAGGAGUGGGCAACGGUAGGUCAGUAUGCCCCGAAUCUCCCGGGCUACACGCGGGCUACAAUGGUUGGUACAAUGGGCAUCUACCCCGAAAGGGGAAGGAAAAUCUCUUAAAGCCAAUCGUAGUUCGGAUUGAGGGCUGCAACUCGCCCUCAUGAAGCUGGAAUCCGUAGUAAUCGCGUUUCAACAGAACGCGGUGAAUACGUCCCUGCUCCUU